AGUGAACGCUGGCGGUAGGCCUAACACAUGCAAGUCGAACGGCAGCACAGUAAGAGCUUGCUCUUACGGGUGGCGAGUGUCGGACGGGUGAGGAAUACAUCGGAAUCUACUUUUUCGUGGGGGAUAACGUAGGGAAACUUACGCUAAUACCGCAUACGACCUACGGGUGAAAGCAGGGGAUCUUCGGACCUUGCGCGAUUGAAUGAGCCGAUGUCGGAUUAGCUAGUUGGCGGGGUAAAGGACCACCAAGGCGACGAUCCGUAGCUGGUCUGAGAGGAUGAUCAGCCACACUGCAACUGAGACACGGUCCAGACUCCUACGGGAGGCAGCAGUGGGGAAUAUUGGACAAUGGGCGCAAGCCUGAUCCAGCCAUACCGCGUGGGUGAAGAAGGCCUUCGGGUUGUAAAGCCCUUUUGUUGGGAAAGAAAAUCAGCAGGUUAAUACCCCGCUGUUCUGACGGUACCCAAAGAAUAAGCACCGGCUAACUUCGUG
Molecule: ribosomal RNA, 492 nt
Filed under: uncultured bacterium
Lineage: Bacteria
Description: partial 16S ribosomal RNA
Rfam family: Bacterial small subunit ribosomal RNA
Source: RNAcentral